AGGAGUGUAGCUCAGUGGUAGAGCAUUCGACUGCAGAUCGAGAGGUCAGUGGUUCAAUUCCGCUCGCUCCCU
This 72-nucleotide transfer RNA is filed under the name Dendronephthya gigantea. RNAcentral describes it as "tRNA-Cys". It matches the Rfam family "tRNA". Rfam says of the family: Transfer RNA (tRNA) molecules are approximately 80 nucleotides in length. Their secondary structure includes four short double-helical elements and three loops (D, anti-codon, and T loops). Further hydrogen bonds mediate the characteristic L-shaped molecular structure. tRNAs have two regions of fundamental functional importance: the anti-codon, which is responsible for specific mRNA codon recognition, and the 3' end, to which the tRNAs corresponding amino acid is attached (by aminoacyl-tRNA synthetases). tRNAs cope with the degeneracy of the genetic code in two manners: having more than one tRNA (with a specific anti-codon) for a particular amino acid; and 'wobble' base-pairing, i.e. permitting non-standard base-pairing at the 3rd anti-codon position. The record is from RNAcentral. Lineage: Eukaryota; Metazoa; Cnidaria; Anthozoa; Malacalcyonacea; Nephtheidae.